RNAcentral lists this ribosomal RNA (487 nucleotides) under uncultured bacterium. Its description in RNAcentral is "bacterial SSU rRNA". It matches the Rfam family "Bacterial small subunit ribosomal RNA", at positions 28 to 507 of the family's 1533-position model. The record is from RNAcentral.
GAUGAACGCUAGCGGGAGGCUUAACACAUGCAAGUCGAGGGGCAGCAUAGGGUAGCAAUACUCUGAUGGCGACCGGCAAACGGGUGAGUAACGCGUAUGCAACCUACCCUGUACAGGGGGAUAACCCGGAGAAAUUCGGACUAAUAUCCCGUAAUAAUAUCCGGAGGCAUCUUUGGAUAUUUAAGGUUCCGACGGUACGGGAUGGGCAUGCGUAACAUUAACUGGUUGGUAAGGUAACGGCUUACCAAGGCUAUGAUGUUUAGGGGUCCUGAGAGGGUGGUCCCCCACACUGGUACUGAGACACGGACCAGACUCCUACGGGAGGCAGCAGUGAGGAAUAUUGGUCAAUGGGCGCAAGCCUGAACCAGCCAUCCCGCGUGCAGGAAGACGGCCCUAUGGGUUGUAAACUGCUUUUCCAGGGAGAGAAGCUUACGCACGUGUUGCGUGACUGACGGUACCCUGGGAAUAAGCAUCGGCUAACUCCGUG